Molecule: non-coding RNA, 202 nt
Organism: Paramuricea clavata
Lineage: Eukaryota; Metazoa; Cnidaria; Anthozoa; Malacalcyonacea; Plexauridae
Source: the annotation of a GenBank genome assembly
UGAAAAUAAAAAUAACUGUACUACCUACAAACAAAUGUACCCCCAUCUGAUCUUGUUGCAUCUACAAAUAUCCCCAGGUAAUCCAGAUAAAUCUGCAAGAAAUCCCCCAUCUAACAUUGUCGAACUUGUUAACAACCCAGAUAUUGUUGAGUACUGGAAAAUGCAAAUGGUCAUAAUGGUCAGAGCACCCAAAGAAAACCCA